Molecule: ribosomal RNA, 587 nt
Filed under: uncultured haloarchaeon
Lineage: Archaea; Methanobacteriati; Methanobacteriota; Halobacteria; Halobacteriales; Halobacteriaceae
Description: bacterial SSU rRNA
Rfam family: Archaeal small subunit ribosomal RNA
Source: RNAcentral
GCAGGCGCGAAACCUUUACGCUGCACGACAGUGCGAUAGGGGGAUCCCAAGUGCACAGGCAUAGCGCCUGUGCUUUUCGGUACCCUAAGGCGGUACCAGAAUAAGGGCUGGGCAAGACCGGUGCCAGCCGCCGCGGUAAUACCGGCAGCCCAAGUGAUGGCCGAUCUUAUUGGGCCUAAAGCGUCCGUAGCUGGCCGUACAAGUCCAUCGGGAAAUCCACCUGCUCAACAGGUGGGCGCCCGGUAGAAACUGUGCGGCUUGGGACCGGAAGGCGCGACGGGUACGUCCGGGGUAGGAGUGAAAUCCCGUAAUCCUGGACGGACCGCCGAUGGCGAAAGCACGUCGCGAGAACGGAUCCGACAGUGAGGGACGAAAGCCAGGGUCUCGAACCGGAUUAGAUACCCGGGUAGUCCUGGCCGUAAACAAUGUCUGCUAGGUGUGGCUCCCACUACGAGUGGGUGCUGUGCCGUAGGGAAGCCGCUAAGCAGACCGCCUGGGAAGUACGUCCGCAAGGAUGAAACUUAAAGGAAUUGGCGGGGGAGCACUACAACCGGAGGAGCCUGCGGUUUAAUUGGAGUCAACGCCGG